AAAAGUGCACGUUAUCGUUUAUUUAGAUAGUACCUUACUACAUGGAUAACCGUGGUAAUUCUAGAGCUAAUACAUGCUAAAAAUCCCGACUUCGGAAGGGAUGUAUUUAUUAGAUUAAAAACCAAUGCCCUUCGGGGCUCUCUGGUGAUUCAUAAUAACUUCUCGAAUCGCACGGCCUUGCGCCGGCGAUGGUUCAUUCAAAUUUCUGCCCUAUCAACUUUCGACGGCUGGGUCUUGGCCAGCCGUGGUGACAACGGGUAACGGAGGGUUAGGGCUCGACCCCGGAGAAGGAGCCUGAGAAACGGCUACUACAUCCAAGGAAGGCAGCAGGCGCGCAAAUUACCCAAUCCCGACACGGGGAGGUAGUGACAAUAAAUACUGAUACAGGGCUCUUUCGGGUCUUGUAAUUGGAAUGAGUACAAUUUAAAUCCCUUAACGAGGAACAAUUGGAGGGCAAGUCUGGUGCCAGCAGCCGCGGUAAUUCCAGCUCCAUAGCGUAUAUUAAGUUGUUGAGGUUAAAAAGCUCGUAGUUGAACCUUGGGCCUAGCCGGCCGGUCCGCCUCACCGCGUGCACUGGCUCGGCUGGGUCUUUCCUUCUGGAGAACCGCAUGCCCUUCACUGGGUGUGUCGGGGAACCAGGACUUUUACUCUGAACAAAUUAGAUCGCUUAAAGAAGGCCUAUGCUCGAAUACUUUAGCAUGGAAAUAAUAGAAUAGGACGUGUGGUUCUAUUUUGUUGGUUUCUAGGACCGCCGUAAUGAUUAAUAGGGACAGUCGGGGGCAUCAGUAUUCAAUUUGUCAGAGGUGAAAUUCUUGGAUUUAUUGAAGACUAACUACUGCGAAAGCAUUUGCCAGGAUGUUUUCAUUAUCAGACGAAGUUAGGGAUCGAGACGAUCAGAUCGUCGUAGUCUUACCAUAACUAUGCGAUAGGAUCGACGUGUAAAUUUGGACGGUCGACCUACGAUAAUCAAAUGUGGCUCCUGGGGAGUAUGGUCGCAAGG
Molecule: ribosomal RNA, 1000 nt
Filed under: Chaetomium globosum
Lineage: Eukaryota; Fungi; Ascomycota; Sordariomycetes; Sordariales; Chaetomiaceae
Description: SSU rRNA
Rfam family: Eukaryotic small subunit ribosomal RNA
Source: RNAcentral